GCCGGGAUAGCUCAGUUGGGAGCGUCAAUCAGACUAUCUGAAGAUUGCCUGUUCAAUCCACGCUUACAGCA
Non-coding RNA from Marchantia paleacea, 71 nucleotides. NCBI's taxonomy places the organism in Eukaryota, Viridiplantae, Streptophyta, Marchantiopsida, Marchantiales, Marchantiaceae. The record is from the annotation of a GenBank genome assembly.